UACGUAGGGGGCAAGCGUUAUCCGGAUUUACUGGGUGUAAAGGGAGCGUAGGCGGAUUGAUAAGUUAGAGGUGAAAUGUCCGAGCUUAACUCGGGAACUGCCUCUAAUACUGUUGAUCUAGAGAGUAGAUGCGGUAGGCGGAAUGUAUGGUGUAGCGGUGAAAUGCUUAGAGAUCAUACAGAACGCCGAUUGCGAAGGCAGCUUACCAAUCUAUAUCUGACGUUGAGGCACGAAAGCGUGGGGAGCAAACAGG
Molecule: ribosomal RNA, 253 nt
Filed under: uncultured bacterium
Lineage: Bacteria
Description: partial 16S ribosomal RNA
Rfam family: Bacterial small subunit ribosomal RNA
Source: RNAcentral